AAUUACCCGGCAGCAGGUUGUAGAGUUGGGUAAGACUAUGGAGGAGUCUUACCCAACUCUACAACCUGCUGCCGGGUACCU
Molecule: non-coding RNA, 81 nt
Organism: Pelobates cultripes (western spadefoot toad)
Lineage: Eukaryota; Metazoa; Chordata; Amphibia; Anura; Pelobatidae
Source: the annotation of a GenBank genome assembly